This 876-nucleotide ribosomal RNA is filed under the name uncultured Candidatus Poseidoniales archaeon. Its description in RNAcentral is "bacterial SSU rRNA". It matches the Rfam family "Archaeal small subunit ribosomal RNA", at positions 22 to 903 of the family's 1478-position model. Lineage: Archaea; Methanobacteriati; Thermoplasmatota; Candidatus Poseidoniia; Candidatus Poseidoniales. The record is from RNAcentral.
GGCUACCGCUAUUGGAGUUCGACUAAGCCAUGCGAGUCCAGAGCUUUCGGAGCUCGGCGUACCGCUCAGUAACACGUGGGUAACCUAACCUAUGCAGGGGAAUAACCUCGGGAAACUGAGAAUAAUGCCCCAUAGUCCACUACGCCUGGAACGGUGAGUGGAUAAAAGCUCAGGCGGCAUAGGAUGGGCCUGCGGCGUAUCAGGUUGUAGGGGGUGUAAAGUACCCUCUAGUCCUCUACGCGUACGGGUGUUGGGAGACAUAGCCCGGAGAUGGGUUCUGAGACACGAAUCCAGACCCUACGGGGUGCAGCAGGCGCGAAAACUUGGCAAUGCGAGCAAUCGUGACCAGGGAACUCCAAGUGGCUGGGGUAAGACCCAGUCUUUUCAGAACUCUUCAAAGGUUUUAGAAUAAGGGGUGGGUAAGGACGGUGCCAGCCGCCGCGGUAAUACCGGCGCCUCAAGUGGUAGUCGCUUUUAUUGGGCCUAAAACGUCCGUAGCCGGUUUGGUACAUUCGUGGGUAAAUCAACUCGCUCAACGAGUUGAAUUCUGCGAGGACGGCCAGACUUGGGACCGGGAGAGGUGUGGGGUACUCUCAGGGUAGGGGUAAAAUCCUGUCAUCCUGAGAGGACCACCUGUUGCGAAGGCGCCACGCUAGAACGGAUCCGACGGUCAGGGACGAAGCCUAGGGGCACGAACCGGAUUAGAUACCCGGGUAGUCCUAGGUGUAAACGCUGUGGACUUGAUGUUGGAGGAGCUCCGAGCUCUUUCAGUGUCGAAGCGAAGGUGAUAAGUCCACUGCCUGGGAAGUACGGUCGCAAGGCUGAAACUUAAAGGAAUUGGCGGGGGAGCACCGCAACCUGAGGAUUGUGCGGUUU